This is a long non-coding RNA of Poecilia reticulata (guppy), 268 nucleotides long. RefSeq lists it as uncharacterized. NCBI's taxonomy places the organism in Eukaryota, Metazoa, Chordata, Actinopteri, Cyprinodontiformes, Poeciliidae. The record is from RefSeq and is a predicted model, not a curated record.
AGUAGGGCUCCAUGUUGAGGAGCUGGUCGAAGCUGACGUGAACUCCGAUCUUCUCCCGGUGGUUCCGCCCGGACCACCUGACCGUCAGACACAGUGGAGCCUGAGGACCUGAGGCAGUUUAUAGACCAUCAGCUGUUUCUUUGCUUCGGUCAAGAUGACGGUUUUGGAGCAUGUGCGUCGUCGCGCUGCUGCAGGAGGAAGGGAUAAGCGCCAGAGUACUUCGAGGUGCAGCCGGCUCCAUCCUUCCCUCUGCCUGCUUUUCCCUCCU